This 195-nucleotide ribosomal RNA is filed under the name uncultured bacterium. RNAcentral's name for it is "partial 16S ribosomal RNA". It matches the Rfam family "Bacterial small subunit ribosomal RNA", at positions 326 to 539 of the family's 1533-position model. The record is from RNAcentral.
ACGCUCGACACCUACGGGCAGCAGUGGGGGAUAUUGCACAAUGGGGGAAACCCUGAUGCAGCAACGCCGCGUGAAGGAAGAAGGUCUUCGGAUUGUAAACUUCUGUCCUCAGGGAAGAUAAUGACGGUACCUGAGGAGGAAGCUCCGGCUAACUACGUGCCAGCAGCCGCGGUAAUCUGAGCGGGCUGGCAAGGC